UAAAAAAACGGCACCAAGAAAGAAAGGACAUGCGCAUUGUUCUCCUGAGCCAGUUAACGUAGAGCUGGUACAUUGCUGUCUUCACUGGAGUGCUGCAAGCUCGAAGUGUGGCUGCAGCACUUCUCGCUCGUAACGUGAAACUUAAAAACACGCCAAGGAGUGGAUGCAAGUGAACUAUCAAUCUACUGAAACAGAAGCGGGAAAUGUAUUCGAAGACGAAAAUGCUCGCGCGACCUGUGCGUCAGACCCGGAUAAACGCACGCGAGCUGACAAAAUCCUGAGUAGCUGUUAUUCAACAUAAACACAUUUCCGCACACAUGAAGAUGGAUGACGAUAGUUCAUCUUAAAAUGAAACUUAUGUUUAUCAGCUUACCCCCAGGCCAUCCAAGAGAUGCUCUUAAGAACAACGCCCUGAUGUCCAAGGUCAACCAGCAAGAAGCUGAGAAGGCACUGCCAAAAUGGUUUACUGGGGCAAGGGACAGAGGAGGACAGAGAGCAUCCAGAAUGCAAAAAAGGAUGUCUGUUUGAGAAAGGUUAAAACUACAGUUGUUGAUUUGAACUGUUGUAGUUCUUUAAUUUUUCUUAAAGGAAAACACAAUCAUUUUUCAAUAUUUACCAUGUUCUUCCCUCAACUUGGAUGAAUUAAUACAAACCUCUCUUUUCUCAAUGUGUGCACUUAAAGGUGGGGUGCACAAUUUCUAAAAAAAACGUUUUGGAAAAGGGAGACAGGCCGACUAUCAAAACACACUUGUAGCCAAUUAGCAGCAUGUCUACUAAAUGACAUCGUUGCCUGGGUUGCAUAUGUGUGGGGCGGGUCUAUCAAAAGAAGGUCCAGAUUCUAUUAGGGUAAGGGUGUGUUUGUUUAGAUGAUUUCAAAUAUCAACAUUGGCUUUCAUGCACCCUGCCUUUAUUUGUUGUAAAGUGUGGCGUGAAUGUGUUAGCAUUUAGCCAAGCACCAUUCAUUCAUUAGGAUCCAAACAGGGAUGAAUUUAAUAGCCACCAAACACUUCCAUGUUUUCCCUAUUCAAAGACUGUUACAUGAGUAGUUACACGAGGAAGUAUGGUAAAAAAUAUAACUAUAUUGUAUGGCGGAAGAGCACUUAGUUUGUAGCACUCGACCUUGGGCACAGUAACAUCAUCACUCCUGACUACUCCCCCUCUUGCUUAAACUACAGUCAACAUAACCAACACGCCUGUACUAAUGUUAGUACAUUGAGCAGACUCUGCGAAAUAUCAAGUUAAGUUUAAGUGUACGCAUUGAGAAAAGAGAGAUAUGUAUUUAUUCGGCUAAGUUGAUGGAAGAACAUAGUAAAAUAUUGAAAAACUGUGUUUGUAAUUAUCUUACUUUCAUUUACUUUUAAGGGCCCCAUUUCAAUAAUUUUUUAAAGGGGCCAUGGCAUGAAAAUCUGACUUUUUCCAUGUUUAAGUACUACAAUUGGGUCCCCAGUGCUUCUAUCAACCUAGAAAAUGUGAAAAAGAUUAACCCAGUAACUUCCAUUCUCUGCAAGCAUGUGAAAAAAUAGGUAGUUGAAAUUUGGCUCUCCUUAUGAUGUCAGAAGGAGCUCUUAUUAUAAUAAUACCACACCUUAAUCUGCACUAUCCAACCACAGCACUGCCAUUUAGUGCAGAGAGGGAGAGACAGAGAAAAAAAUUCACAGCACAAUUAAGUUUCAAUUUCAACAAACCACCAUCAUUGUUAUCAGUGUUUGAAUUUCAUCAGCUCAUUUGCAUUUUAAAGUAGGGAUGCACCGAAAUGAAAAUUCUUGGCCAAAACCGAAAACCGCAAAAAGGAAACCAAGGCCGAAAAACCGAAACACCGAAAGAAAUUAUUAUGCCAAUUAUAAGUACAAUUGCAUUUAUGGCUAUCACUGUGUACUAACUUUACUAGGGGUGUGUGAUGGAUAAAAAAAACCUCACAGUUCGGAUCACAUUACAGUUUUUGAGGCACAGAUCAGAUUAUUUUUCGGAUCAGCAAAAAGCAGGUGGGAAAAAAUCUAAUAAACAAUAAAGAAAUUGCAAACAUUUACAAAAAAGAACAAAGUUGUACAUUAAUAAGGUCUGAAAUUAGCAUUAGGUACAGAAAUCAAAUUAAAUGAAUCAUAACACAAUAAAUUAAAUGUAUUAUUAUUUUUAGAGCUAUUUGUCUCUUUGUCAUGGGUUGUUUGAUUAACAUUAAUGACACAGACUUAAGUAGGUUAAUCUGACUGUAAUCUAUACAUGCACUUAA
Molecule: non-coding RNA, 2227 nt
Organism: Misgurnus anguillicaudatus (oriental weatherfish)
Lineage: Eukaryota; Metazoa; Chordata; Actinopteri; Cypriniformes; Cobitidae
Source: RefSeq, a predicted model, not a curated record